Molecule: ribosomal RNA, 792 nt
Filed under: uncultured Lactobacillus sp.
Lineage: Bacteria; Bacillati; Bacillota; Bacilli; Lactobacillales; Lactobacillaceae
Description: bacterial SSU rRNA
Rfam family: Bacterial small subunit ribosomal RNA
Source: RNAcentral
GAUGAACGCCGGCGGUGUGCCUAAUACAUGCAAGUCGAGCGCACUGGCCCAACUGAUAUGACGUGCUUGCACUGAAUUGACGUUGGAUUCCCAGUGAGCGGCGGACGGGUGAGUAACACGUGGGCAACCUGCCCUGAAGCGGGGGAUAACAUCUGGAAACAGAUGCUAAUACCGCAUAACAACGAAAACCACAUGGUUUUCGUUUCAAAGAUGGUUUCGGCUAUCACUUCAGGAUGGGCCCGCGGUGCAUUAGCUAGUUGGUAAGGUAACGGCUUACCAAGGCGAUGAUGCAUAGCCGAGUUGAGAGACUGAUCGGCCACAAUGGAACUGAGACACGGUCCAUACUCCUACGGGAGGCAGCAGUAGGGAAUCUUCCACAAUGGGCGCAAGCCUGAUGGAGCAACACCGCGUGAGUGAAGAAGGGUUUCGGCUCGUAAAGCUCUGUUGUUGGAGAAGAACGUGCGUGAGAGUAACUGUUCACGCAGUGACGGUAUCCAACCAGAAAGUCACGGCUAACUACGUGCCAGCAGCCGCGGUAAUACGUAGGUGGCAAGCGUUAUCCGGAUUUAUUGGGCGUAAAGCGAGCGCAGGCGGUUGCUUAGGUCUGAUGUGAAAGCCUUCGGCUUAACCGAAGAAGUGCAUCGGAAACCGGGCGACUUGAGUGCAGAAGAGGACAGUGGAACUCCAUGUGUAGCGGUGGAAUGCGUAGAUAUAUGGAAGAACACCAGUGGCGAAGGCGGCUGUCUGGUCUGCAACUGACGCUGAGGCUCGAAAGCAUGGGUAGCGAACAGG